GGUUUCCAGAAUAAAGAACAGAAAUUGUGCGAUAAUUUUCAUAUAAAGAUCUUUCACAGACCAAAUGGAGGAGGAAGGAGUGUCCAUGUUCUGUGCCCUGAGUACAGAUUCUCUAAAAGAAAGAGAAAAGGAUAAAUUGUAUGUGCUCAGUUUUUUUCCCAAAAAUCAGUAGGACAAUUUACCCCCUACAGACAUAACUGAUCUUUUAAGUUUCUUAUUGUCUCCUCCGGAAGAGUAUUUUAAUUCUCUGCUUAGCAACUGCAGACUUAUUUUUUGCUGCAUUUUAAUUUUUGGAACCCAAACAACAUGACAUAUCUCAAUUUACAAGCUUAUCUUGAGAAUUAGAAAUUAAGAAGAAUUCAA
Molecule: long non-coding RNA, 363 nt
Organism: Canis lupus familiaris (dog)
Lineage: Eukaryota; Metazoa; Chordata; Mammalia; Carnivora; Canidae
Exons: 3
Source: RefSeq, a predicted model, not a curated record